Molecule: long non-coding RNA, 1956 nt
Filed under: Piliocolobus tephrosceles (Ugandan red Colobus)
Lineage: Eukaryota; Metazoa; Chordata; Mammalia; Primates; Cercopithecidae
Description: lncRNA (ENSPTEG00000027587.1)
Source: RNAcentral
AUGGAAAAAAAUAAUAUAAAAAUUGAUUUACAAAAAUUAUUUUAUUUUUUAAAAGUUAUAAAAAAAAAUACGAAUUUUGAAUUUUAUUUAAAAUUGCAAAAUGAGUUGUUUAAUUUGUUUAAUAAUCCUUUAUUCAUUAUUUCGUUGAAAUAUUUUCAGAAUAAAGGGAAUAGUACGUAUCGUAAAAAGAGUAGUGACAAUAAUAGCGUAACAAAAAAGGAAAAGCAACUUGAGUACAAACAUGGAGAAGGGAAAGGAUAUGUUGCGGAUGGAAAAACAGAUUUUAAUUUUUUUACUCCACUUAAUUAUAAUCUAGAAAAUAACAAAAAUGAUACUAAUUUCAUUUUUAGUUUAUCUAAUAUAAGAAGUAAAAAUUAUAAUUUCAAAAAAUUAAAUUUAUUAGACUUUUAUAGAAUAAGUAAUAACAUAAUUCCUUCUAUAAUAACAACAGUAUCUAUGAUUACAUCACUAGCUGCGUUCGAGUUAUAUAAGUUGGUUUAUUUUUUAAUGUUAAGUAAAGAUAAGAGUUUGGAAAAUAUUUUGAAUGAACGUGUGAGAAAUGGAUUGGGUAAUAUUAAUCAUAUUAACAAUAAUAAAAUUAACAGUAAAAAAGCAUGUGAUCUCCAAAAUGAACUUUUAAAAACACCAAGUAAAAUAUACAAAUGUCAUACAUUUGGUAAUUUUAAUUUAUAUAUUUAUAAAGAUAAAAUAUAUGUAAAAAAAAAUAAUAAAAUAAUAUUUUCUUUUUUUAAUAUAAAAUAUGAAAAAUUAAAAAAAAUAGCUAAUUUUAUUAAUAACCAUUAUAUAAAUUUGCAAGACAAUUUUUUAACUUGCUCAGAAUUACAUACAGUAUAUGAUUAUUAUUAUAAAAAUGCAUCGUUAGAUUUUAUAAAAAAUAUGAAGUUUUCAGAGUGGAACUAUAUAUAUAUAGAUAUUAUGCUUAAUAAACAAGAAAUGAUAUUAUUCAAUGACAAAAAUGGUAGUGAUGGGAUUAGUAGUGGUGGGAUUAGUAGUGGUGGGAUUAGUAGUGAUGGGAUUAGUAGUGGUGGGAUUAACAGUUAUGACAGCUGUUGUGGUUUCCCCGCUUACUUGUUUUAUAAAAAACCAAACACAAAAUCAAAUGAACAAUUAAAAAAGGAAAUAUUUAUAUAUAUAAAAAGUAUUAAUGAAAAAAUUAAUAAAAUUGAUGCUAAAAUUGAAAAAGAAGAUUUACGAAAAAAUAAAAUAAAUAUUAUUAAAAAUGUAUUUGGUACAAAAAAAGAAACAAUAUAUACAGCACAUGAUAUAAUAAACAAAAUAAAAAAUGAUAUUUUAAAUAAUAUAUUAAAAGAAAUUUAUUUAAUUUUAGGGAUAAUAGAAGAAAAUAAAAAAAUAUAUAAAACAAAUACUGACAUUAGUGAGGACAUUAAUGAGGACAUAAGUGAAGAAAUUCACGUUUUGAACCAUAUCCAAGUAUUUAUUAAUAAUUUAAAGGAAAAAAUGGAUAAAAUGAGUCAACAAAACAUACUAGACAAUAGUAACAUGUCAAUUGAUGGAAAAAACAAUGUAAUAACAAUAAUUUAUAUAAAAAACAUAUUAAAUAAUGUAAUAAAAGAUUUAAACGAAGUAAAAGAUAUAUUAGAAGAACUUAAAAAAAAUUAUAUUUUAAAUUUUAAUAUAAAAAAUAUAAAUAAAAAUAAACAAGAAACAGAAGUAACAUUAAAUGAAUUGAUAAGUUCGAUUGAGUCCUUAUUUAAUGUUACUAUUCAAACAAUAGCGGUACAAGAUAAAAUUAUUUAUUCAAAAUUAUUAUUACCUAUGCAUGAUUAUGGGAAUAGUUAUUUAAAAGAUGUUUUAAAAAAAUUAUUUCUUAAAAAACUGACAACAGGUAUAUAUAUUUUGAAUAUUUUUGCCAUUGAUAAUGUAACUAAAGAAGAAGUUGCAUUACCCGACGUGCAAAUAAAUAUCCACACGUGA